This 449-nucleotide ribosomal RNA is filed under the name uncultured Enterobacteriaceae bacterium. RNAcentral's name for it is "bacterial SSU rRNA". It matches the Rfam family "Bacterial small subunit ribosomal RNA", at positions 930 to 1382 of the family's 1533-position model. The record is from RNAcentral. Lineage: Bacteria; Pseudomonadati; Pseudomonadota; Gammaproteobacteria; Enterobacterales; Enterobacteriaceae.
CGGUGGAGCAUGUGGUUUAAUUCGAUGCAACGCGAAAACCUUACCAGGUCUGACAUCCAGCGAAUGCUGCAGAGAUGCGGCAGUGCCUUCGGGAGCGCUGAGACAGGUGCUGCAUGGCUGUCGUCAGCUCGUGUUGUGAAAUGUUGGGUUAAGUCCCGCAACGAGCGCAACCCCUAUUGUUAGUUGCCAUCAUUCAGUUGGGCACUCUAGCGAGACUGCCGGUAAUAGACCGGAGGAAGGUGGGGAUGACGUCAAAUCAUCAUGCCCCUUAUGACCUGGGCUACACACGUGCUACAAUGGUUGGUACAACGAGUUGCGAGUCGGUGACGGCGAGCUAAUCUCUUAAAGCCAAUCUCAGUUCGGAUUGUAGGCUGCAACUCGCCUACAUGAAGUCGGAAUCGCUAGUAAUCGCGGAUCAGCACGCCGCGGUGAAUACGUUCCCGGGCCUU